RNAcentral lists this ribosomal RNA (433 nucleotides) under uncultured bacterium. RNAcentral describes it as "partial 16S ribosomal RNA". It matches the Rfam family "Bacterial small subunit ribosomal RNA", at positions 29 to 507 of the family's 1533-position model. The record is from RNAcentral.
AACGAACGCUGGCGGCAUGCUUAACACAUGCAAGUCGAGCGCACCCUUCGGGGUGAUCGGCAUACGGGGGAGGAACGCGAGGGAAGCGACCCUUGGCUACGGAAUAGCUCCGGGAAACGGGAAUUAAUACCGAAUGUGCCCUUAUGGGGAAAGAUUUAUCGGCAAGAGAUGUGCCCUCGUUGGAUUAGCUAGUUGGUGGGGUAAAGGCCUACCAAGGGGACGAUCCAUAGCUGGGCUGAGAGGAUGAUCAGCCACAUGGGGACUGAGACACGGCCCAAACUCCUCCGCGAGGCAGCAGUGGCGAAUAUUGGACCACGGCCGCAAUCAUGAUGCAGCCCUGCCGCGUGAGUGAUGAAGGCCUUAGAGUUGUAAAGCUCUUUCAACGGAGCAGAUCAUGACGGUAUCCGGAGAAGAAGCCCCGGCUAACUUCGUG